UAUGCUCCUUGGUAAAUAGAGUCUGUCAACCUUGCUGCAUGGAUGAAGGGCAUGAUUCAUUGUCAUUAUUUGUCUGGUCUUCCUAUCCAGGGCUUCUAGUUCAGCUUGAGUCCAGUCCACGAUUCCAGCUGUAUAUCUAAUGACUAGAAUUGCCCAGGUGUUAAUCAUCUUGAUGGUAUUUCCGCCACUGAGUUUGGACUUUAAGAUCUUCUUCACUCUUCUGAUGUAUUCAGUACUACCCUUCUUCUUGACUUCAGUGUGCUUAUGUUGUCAGACUGAAGGAUGCUCAGGUAUUUAUAGUGAUCUUUUUCAUCCAGACUCUUGAUGCUAUUUCCAUAAGGCAUCUUGAUUCCUUUAGUUUUCACUAUUUUUCCCCUGUUGAUGGUAAGGGUGGUACAUUUGUCCAGUCCAAACUCCAUUGCAGUAUCUUGGCUGUAUAUUCAGACAGUGUUGAGCAGCAAUUCCAAUUUAGAUGAUGUUUUUCCAUACAGCUUUAGAUCAUCCAUGCAAAGGAGGUGGGAUAGCCUGGCAGAUGUUUUUGAUGUUUGAUAGCCAUGGCCUGACUUGUCCAGUAUUGUUGGCAGAGGAAUCAGUACAAUGACAAACAGUAGUGGUGAUAGUGAGUCUCCCUGAAAGAUUCCUCUCUUGAUAUUAAUCUCUCCCAGUCUAUCACCAUCGAGCAGUAACUGUAUCUUCCAUUGUGCCAUUGAUCUUUGCACAAAGUUUCUGAUGUUUCUAUUGACUCUUAUUAUUUCUAGGCACUUGAUUAUCCAGUCAUGUGGCAGGGAGUCGAAUGUCUUCUUGUAAUCAAUCCAAGCUACAUUCAAGUUGGUCUUCCUUCUAUUACAGUUUUCCAAAAUCAUCUUGUCAAUUAGGAGCUGAACUUUUGUCCCUCUGCUGUUUUUGUGGGUUUCCUAUUAUUACUAUUACUAAAUAUGCCUCAAUGUUAUUAGGUGAAAAGAAGACCCACUAAUAAUGGAAGCAACCCAAAUUAUGCAAUUGUAUCAGUGGAAUGCUUUCUUCCUGCAAUACACAAUUCCACAAUUGAGUAUUUUGUUUUAAUCUUAGGUUUAUUAUCCCAGUUACUGAACUUUUAAAAAAAAAAUUCAAAAGCAUAACUGUGUUAGUCUGUGCAGGAAAAACAUUAAUGUUUUUAAUACCCUAUAUAACUAUUUGUAAGGCCAUAUGCUUUUAAAGAUUACAUGUAAUCAGAUUGAUUGUAGCUAUUUAGCUGCACAAUGAGUGAACUUCAGUCCAUCUUAAAAUAAUGUCCCAUCCCACUGCAUUUGCUUAGAGACCGCCACCCAGUCUAAAACAGCUUCUUAUCAAUAAUCACAAACUACGCUACGAAGAUACUCCAUUAAUGACUUACUCCAAUAAUUGCUCUGGCAAUGUAAUUGUAGGACCUAAUAAUGUCACUUAUAUAUGAAAGCCUAAUCUUUCAGUAUGAUUAUGUGCUAUCAUUAUCCAUAGGAUGAACAACAGAGUUGCUGGGCAAAAUAAUAUAUAGGCACAGAUCUGACCACAGAAAUGGUAAUAUUGGGAAACUAAUGGAGAACACUUUCAAAACUUCAACUUCAUCAGGCACUCUUCUAGUAUUUUGAACCAAAUAAUUACAUGAGUUUUGUUGCGAAGUAGUACUCAAGUUAAUCAAGAGUUCUCAAUGUUGUGGUUUGAAUUUCCUCAACCUAAUUCAUGUUUUUCAAAUAUGUAGUCAUGGGCUAAUUGUACAAAGUUUAUACAGAAGAAUAGGCAAAACAAUCUUUUUGUUUAUUACUAUAAAUAAACAAUUUAUAGAAGUAAUUAAUUGUAUUCAUAACAUUAAGUGAAGGAUUUCCCUUUACAAUCAUUUGCCAUGGUUUUAAGUAGUUAGUCCCUAACUUUAAAGCUUCCAUGGCAAAAGAUGCUGUACACAGAGAUCUAGGCCACAUGAUCUAAUAAAAAAAAUUAAUUGCUGUCAUUAGAAUCUAGAUUACUGGAGUCCAGAACCUUACAGAUUUUUACAACAUGGAUGAAUAUAAGCAACAGUGAAGCACAUAGGAAGAUGCAUUUCAAUCUGGGAUUGGAAGAGCCUUGCAGCAAUAAAAGCUUUUUAUAUUUCCACUGGUUUACUACCACUGAUAUAGUUUGUGUCAGCCCCUCAAGGUAGACCAGACUAGAAAACCAGAGUUUUGAAUGUGAAUGCUACUUUUAUUAUAAGGUUACAGUAACAGAAUCUUGCAAGUCUGUAUGUGCUUCUCCCCUCCCUCACUUUAUCUUCAUGAGAACUAGGGAGGGUCAUGUCUGAGAUGCUUUCUCAAAUUACAUUUCUGCCCUGGACUCAGAUUUCUUUUAUCUGACCGCUGCCUUGGUUGCAGCUCUUCCUCCUGUUCCUCAAGAUUAUUCCUUCUGUCAAUUACAGCCAUUAAAGCUGGCAGAAUAUCUUAGGGCCAUUAAAGCAUAAUUUAUAAGAAAUUAUAUCUUAGCAACCACAGUUGGGACCAGCAACUCCAUCGCUCAGUGCGUGGUUGUUAAGUGAAACAUCACAUGACAGCGACUUAGGCUUUUAUUUCUGCAUUCUACAUUAACUCUGCUUGUUGCAAGCCAGUUGAGAAGCUUGCAAAUGGCAUUACCAGGUAAAUGCAAGGAUUAAUUGCAAAGCUGUUUUUUUUUUUCUUUUACACACCACCAUAACUUCAAACGGUCACCAAAUUAGGCAGUCAGUAAGCAAAGACUGCCUAUAUUUCAUGGUCUUUUUUCAGAUUAUUGUGCACAUGAUAAAUCUAGAAAUUGUUAUGAUUUGCCUGUCAACCCUAAAAUUAUACUCCAGGAAUCCAGUCUCUAAGGGUAGUGUAAUUCAGCAGAAUCAAUAGAUGGGAGAGAAAUGAAUAGUGAUGACCAUGCUUUCUGAUACUUCAGUGCUUUGAAGUUCUAGUUAGCCAGAGAUUAUCCUUUAAUAAUAUAUAUAUUUAAUAUUAAUAAUGGUUUUGUGAAGCCAAGCUUUCACUAAAUGUUGGGUGAGCUUUAUUUAAACCUAAUGAAAGGAGGAGAAAAUUAUGUGAAAGUCAAGGAGGAACAUAAUUAAUUUAUGUAUCAUCCCAUCCUGAGUCAUUAGGUAAAAGGCCAGACAAACUUAUUUUUAUGUUCAUAAAGGUAUUUAAAUGAAGUUGUUGGUGAGAAUGGGAGAUGCUUGUCUCUGGUAAUUGCUGCUAAUUUGUCCCACACACUUUAUUUACAGAGUCAAGAGCACCUUCCAAAUUUACCAAUGCACAUACUAGUGAGACAGAAUUAGAAAGUGGUCAAGAUAACACCUCCGUUCUUAAAACCUAUUUGUUCAGAGCGGGAAACAGGUUUUACCCAGUCUUCCAGCUUCUCCAGCAGUAAGCAUGAAUACAGCCUGGUUGACAUAUCCAGUAGAUAAACUAGACAAUCUACUGGAUAUGCCAAUUUAUUUUGUAAAUAGUGAUAAUUAUACCAAGGGUCCUGGCCUUCUGUGUAGUGUAUUUAUACAUUUGAACAAUUUAGCAAGGAGUGGCUGCCAUCCUGUUGCAAAGUGCUUAAAUACCGUAGAAGGCAGAACUAACCUACAUAAGAACACAUAAUGUCCAACAACUACUUUGUUACUGACUAUUCUUACGGUCACAAUUACUACCCGGAGCUUCUGCGUUUCAUACGUCCUUCUGACUUCACUGCUUACCAUGCACCCCACCAUAUGUAUACGAAUGCAUAUACUCAUCUCAAGAUAACAUUGCAUGCAUCUGAUAAGUGAAGCAUUAUGUCAUAAUAAAUGUAUUAAAUUUUAAAAUAAAAGGGACUAAAAUGAAAAAGAAUAAGCAGGAAUAGCAGCAGCUGAACUUUAUUGGCAUGCUGUCAUACUCAUUUCCUUAAUCUGUAGGGCUAUAGGCUCUACACAUCCUACUUUCAGUGAACAUUUUUCAUUGUGGAAUCUGCUGGCAAACCCUCUGCAUUUGGUUGAAAAACUGAGGCAUGUUCUAAAAUGCAUACUUAGCUGAAGCAGGGUAUAGCAUAUUUGCCAUCACUGUGUGUGAAAUAUUGUGCCUUAAAAUUUACCCAUACGAGCCCUGGUUCUGCAAUGGACAAGAUCUGGUAUCGUAAACAACUGUAUUUUGGGCAAUCUGUCUCCCUAAUUCACUGAAAAAUUUAGUUGUGUAUUUUAGGCUCCUAAGGAAGAUAUUUAAGCUUUACUAUAAAGAAGAUGCAAGUUUAAUGUUGACUCAGCAGUGGAUAAAGCUGUCUUUGAAAGUAGAAUUUGGUUUGUAGGAUGUAUCUAAAAAAGUUUAAGAAAUGGCUUGAUCUGUACUAAAAGUCUAUCAUCAUGACAUACACUGUCUUGAGCUUCUUAAUGGAAAAAAGGGAAUCAGCUAAUGUUACUGGGCAUUGUUUAAACCUCAGAUACAGUUACAUAGCUUCUUGAACAUGACCAUUGCAAAUCAUGUUUCUUACAUUUUUUCUUACCUUUUUAAAAAGAAUUCGAAAUUAAUUGUCAUGCUAUGUCUCCCCUUUUUUUCAGCACUAAGUAUAUCUGAUCAUUCCAUCCAAUUCAAAACAUAAUAGAUUACUCCCAAGCAUAAUCUUCACCAUAGUGAUUAGUACCAGCAUGCAGUGAUUUGAAGCACCUGUGGCUUUUUAAAGCAGCCACAUCUUUUCCUAGGAUCACAUAUUUGCCUUCCACGGCUACAGCACAAUCCCUGGAGAAGACAUGGCUGCUUUAAAGGAAUGACCUUAUUUCAGUUCCUUCUUAAUCUGUCAGGUGGAAUUAUAAAAUCUAAAUCUACCAAGUGGGUCAGUCAAACUACUUGUAUUUUCAUUAAGGUACUGUAUAAAACACAAGUUCACAUUAGCAUUUAACAACUUUAGUGUUUACAUAAUACAGAAUUCAUAAAUACAGAAAGAUUUUUUUUCUUUUUCAAGAAGGAAGAAAUGUUUAUAAAAUAAAUAUACUUUUUUUCAACAAACCUUAAAUAAGACUUUUUGGCUUUAUGGGAUUUUUUGCUAGUGUUAUCAAUCAGAUGAUAGGGAAAUUAAAUCUUGGGUACUAUGUCUGUAGGGAGUAGAUUUCAUUCCACUGAAAUUGUUACAUAUCUAUUAGUCACAAAUGGUACACACUAUACAAAUAUUUAGGCUUUUGCUGUGCAAACAAAAAAUAAAAUAAAAUGGCAAGUCAAAUGAAAUAGUGACAGAGAUUCCAGAGUAUGGGCAUAAAAAGCAUUGAUAUAUAUUUUUUACCUUUUGAAGAGUAUCAAUCUUCAUGUGAAUUACUAUUAGAGUUAUUCAUUUUUACUAUUUUUUUCUUUCCAUUUGCAGCUCAGCCUUUUAUCUUUGAUAAAUAAUAAACAGAACAGGUAGCAUCACAUUCUGUUUAAUUAACACACCACACAAAUAUGUAAUUUCAUUGCCUCUCCUUUCCUUUCUUACCACUUCUGGCUUAAUCCUGCUCCCUGCAAGGUUCUGAGAAAGAUAGUUUGUAAUUUGACUUCUCAGUGACUAAUCUUGUAUAUUUGUGUUGACACAAACUGCCUACAGUGUUGCUGUAGCAUUUUAACUAUAGUGUGUUCUAUUAUACCUUGACCUAAGGUUAGGAUCAAAAGAACUCCUUGGCUGUACUGUAUCAAAGGCUUCUAGAUAUCCUUUAGAAUUGCCCUGUUUAUUUGUUAUUAUUUUCUGCAUGGAGUUGGCUGUUGAGGUCCUCCAGUAUGGGAGAAGUAAUCCUAAAUGCAGAAAGAGUUCUAAUGAUAAAGCAUCCAGAACCUCUCCCCUUUCAUGGCUACUUGGAUCCUGUUCCAUGGAUUGAGGUGACUGGGAAUGGAGAACCUGUCAUCUUCUGGAGGUUGCUAACUACAACGUCUGGUGUUCUUUUAACUGGCUGUGCCAGCGGGCGUUGCUGCAAGUUGAAAUUCAGCUACUUCUGGAGUGCCACAGAUUCCCCGUCCCUAGUGUACUGGCAGAGCAAACUUUACAGUGGGGUAAUUAAUUGGCAAUUUUGUAUGUUUUGUCAGUAAUUUUUUUUGACAGUUUUAAUUUUGUCUAAAUAGGUUUUCUAUGUGCAUUCCAAAGGCCUUUUGUGUUAUACUGUAGCAAAGCUUGAACUCUUCUAAAAAAGGAGGCAGGAGUUUUAAAAUGUUACUGGCUGGUUCAGUAAAUCACUUUUGUCUUUCCUUUAAUUAGCUUGAUCUACAGCAUCAUUUUCUUAUUCUUUUAUUCUGUAAUUAUGUGAUGUAGUAAGCAUGCCUUCUAUAGCUAUGAUGUAUUUAGGAUUAUUCUGUAAUAAUAUGUUUGGAGACUUCGUAAUUUUCAGUUUGCUAUUCGGUUGAAUAGUAAUAUUUAAUGCAACAAUGAAUUUCUGCUCUGUUCAAAUGUUUGUGCAUCUGAUCACCAAAAAUAUAGAGAAUUUAUAACUUGAAUAUGUUUAUUUUAAAAAUAUGCCAUGUACAGCUAUCAAGAAACCUUGUAUGUAGAAUUUUGGGCAGAAGUGUUUUUAUUGCACCUUUAAAAAAGAAAUGUAAUAUAGUGUUUAAAAGAUCUUAUUUUGCACUAGGGUUGCCAAAUGCCCCAUUAUAUUUCCAAUUAUGGCAAUUCCUUAGAAUAUAAUGAAUUUCCCUUACUUUGGAAUACACUGGCUCCACCAAGCAAUAUCCUUUUUUUCCCCAUUUUUAAUGGUAGUUACAACCAGUAGUUACGUUUGCACAACUUAUCUAUAAUUUAAUCAUGGUUUACUCAACCCAGGUUUCUUAAUUCACACAAUAAGCUGGCUGAAAUAUAGCUGACUGCAUUGUCAUUCAGAGUUUUGUGCAAAAAUAAUCUAUAUUAUCCUAAAAUAAGACACAUUGUAGGCACAGAACCCAUAGUAUAUAAAUAUAAAUAUAUAAAAAGAGGGGUUUUGAGGUGAUUCAGUGUUCACAGCAGUCUUCAGAUUGAUCUCCUUUACUUGUAUUAUUAUAAAAUAAAUGUUUGAAGCGUUUUAGUUAUAUUAUACCAUCUUUCUGGUAAUCAUACAAUUCGGAACUAUAGUUAGGUAUCCCAAUCUGUUCAUAUACCAAACUAAAAUGUUGGGGCUAAUUCUUGUUUAGCGUGAUAGUUCAUAUAGUUUUGUGAUGACUAGCUGAAGUAACGAUGAGAGUAAAUUUCUUUUUUAUUUGAAAAAGCUUCAUAAAUUAUAAUUUCAACAACACUUUGGACAACUACAAAACUGAGAUAAAUAGGAAAAAUCUUCCCUUUUUUUUUAUAAUUCAUGAAUGGAAAAAGGCCAUCUCAAUAGCUGUUCCCCUUUGGUUAUACAUGACUGAGAAUUGAAGGUAAAGUUAACUGGUAGAGAACUAGAAUUAGUGAAAUACAAUUAUAUUAUUACAGAUUAGCAGUUUAUAUAUGGUAUGGUAAUUUUUUAUACAUUUAUAUCUAAAUAAUUAUAUGUUGAUUUUUUUUUAGGGGAAUUCACUGGGGCAUCAGAAAAAGUCAAGAUGAUAGCUGUGAUAGCCUGAUAAAAAUUCCACCCCUAUUUAUACAGCACUUGUAAAAGGACAGGGUUUCAAUCACAGUCACGUGCACCAUCUUAACUUUUUUGAGACCUCCUUGCAGACACUUUGGCUUUAUUUAAAAGGAAAAAAAUUAAUCUAAUCUAGAUUAGAUUAAUCUAAUGUAGAACAUUUGUUCCAACCAUUGUGUCCUAGACACCUAACAUUUCAGACUAUUUUAUGUUGCUAGAGUGCUUAGGUGGGGAAAUAAUCAAACACUGCCAACAAUGGAAAUAAUUCAGUAGUAAGCUUUUUCAGAGAAAGGCAAACACAAAUCCUAAAUCCAAAUUAGGUAGUCAGUUCAACAAAUUAGGCAGAGAUGCUCAGCCUGUACCCUCAUAGCUACCUGGGGCCUUCCCCAAGCCUCAACUCCACCAAAUAUUGCCUCUGUUGUAUAAUUUUUAUUAUAACACUAGACAACCGUGACCCAACGGGUCUUCGUUUCAGAGAUAUUUCCUUACCGGAUUCCUCAAUGCCUUCAACAGUGGCAGAGCUUCUAAUGUACUGCCUUCACUGGAAAAGUUCUUAAAAAUUCAGGGAGAUAUUCAAGGAUGUAUCUGCCUUGAAAAUUGCCCAUGUCAUUCAUAUUGAACUGUAUAGCAUAGUCAAACAUCAGGAGUUGACUGCAGGAAAUGUUUUAUGACAUUUUGUAUUAUGUCAUAAAGUGUUUUAUGAUAAUUCUUAUGUCAUAAAAUGUUUUAUAAAAUUUGCCAAAUUGCUAUUCCACGGGAGCCAUGGGUCCUGUAUUUUGGACGCAUUCUGUAAGCCCAUUUGAGGUAUCUUGGUUCAAAAAUUGUUGGCCUAUGACACACCAUUUUGCCCAGUACAGGUUAAAAACAGACACAAGAGUUUUAGUAGUAUAUAGAUGAUAGAUAACAUUAUUAAAUAUAUGGUGAAUAAUCAUAUUAACUAUAUUUAUUAUGGUCGAUAAAUUUCAUGCUGAAUCAAAUUUAGCUUUUAUGCUGUCUGUGCCUACUUUUGUAAUGUCCCUCCUGGCAUGCCACUGAAAGACAAAGGUAGUCCUCAGGUUAAGAAAAUAUGGUGUUUGUAAACUACUGUUCUACAGGGGAAGGGCAGGAAGGUUUAAAUUCAAGAAUAUCUGUGUUAACUCUAAUCUACCUAAGAUGAGAAAGGGGGGAAAUUCCUGUCUGAAGAUAUCAGCCAAGCUUGUGAUUUCUAACUGUAACAAAUACAAAUAAAGUGCCACUUCAAAAUGCAUUAAA
This is a long non-coding RNA of Candoia aspera, 8731 nucleotides long. RefSeq lists it as uncharacterized. The record is from RefSeq and is a predicted model, not a curated record. The transcript has 2 exons. Lineage: Eukaryota; Metazoa; Chordata; Lepidosauria; Squamata; Candoiidae.